Molecule: ribosomal RNA, 329 nt
Filed under: uncultured eukaryote
Lineage: Eukaryota
Description: partial 18S ribosomal RNA
Rfam family: Eukaryotic small subunit ribosomal RNA
Source: RNAcentral
GCCUUAGAUGUUCUGGGCCGCACGCGCGCUACACUGACGAUGGCAACGAGUUUUUCCUUCGCCGAAAGGUGUGGGUAAUCUUUUGAAACAUCGUCGUGCUGGGGAUAGAUCAUUGCAAUUUUUGAUCUUGAACGAGGAAUUCCUAGUAAGCGCGAGUCAUCAGCUCGCGUUGAUUACGUCCCUGCCCUUUGUACACACCGCCCGUCGCUACUACCGAUUGAAUGGUUUAGUGAGGACUCCUGAUUGGCGCCGCCGCCCCGGCAACGGAGCAGCGGACUGCCGAAAAGUUGUUCAAACUUGAUCAUUUAGAGGAAGUAAAAGUCGUAACA